GAUGAAGAACGUAGCGAAAUGCGAUAAGUAAUGUGAAUUGCAGAAUUCAGUGAAUCAUCGAAUCUUUGAACGCACCUUGCGCUCCUUGGUAUUCCGAGGAGCAUGCCUGUUUGAGUGUCAUUAAAUUCUCAACCUCACCAGUUUUCUGAACUGUUCUCCGAGGCUUGGAUGUGGGGGUUUGUGCAGGCUGCCUCAGCGCGGUCUGCUCCCCUGAAAUGCAUUAGCGAGUUCGAUACUGAGCUCCGUCUAUUGGUGUGAUAAUUAUCUACGCCGUGGAUCGGGGCUUAGACUCGCUUCUAACCGUCCGCAAGGACAAUACCUUGACAAUUUGACCUCAAAUCAGGUAGGACUACCCGCUGAACUUAAGCAUAUCAAUAAGCGGAGGA
RNAcentral lists this unclassified non-coding RNA (386 nucleotides) under soil metagenome. Its description in RNAcentral is "partial contains 5.8S ribosomal RNA, internal transcribed spacer 2, and large subunit ribosomal RNA". The stretch from base 1 to 120 matches the Rfam family "5.8S ribosomal RNA", at positions 35 to 154 of the family's 154-position model. The record is from RNAcentral.